Non-coding RNA from Arachis ipaensis, 457 nucleotides. Lineage: Eukaryota; Viridiplantae; Streptophyta; Magnoliopsida; Fabales; Fabaceae. The record is from RefSeq and is a predicted model, not a curated record.
AAAAGGGGGUGAAGCAAAAUCUUGACUUGCAAGACGCACCGGUAUCUCUGUGAAAUGUUGCCGCCGCAACGCCAGGCAUGUUCUUCUUCUCUUUUAAUAUGCACAAGCCAAAAUAAUGUAAAAUCAUGCAGAUUGCUAAUAAUUCUCACCUUUUGGAAAGGUCAAGUAUGAAGUUUGCUCCCGAGCCACUAAACAAACUAUUAGUGAAGUUUGGGGUGACUCAACCAGCAACGGACACUGCCUAGUUUGCUCUGCUCUUCCGUUUCUGAUGCAGGAUCAAGGAUAAAAAAUGCAUCGUGGAAUUGGUUUUAUCACCUUUGCAAGUGCAGGUUAGGUUGUGUGCUCUACUCCUCACUACGUGCAUAUUUUAACUUGAUUGACACCUGUUGUACACACCUUUUCAAUGCGUACUAUAUGUGCCUACAGCUGUUGCUCUAUAUUUUAGUUUGUAUACUUU